CACAUACAUGCACAACACAUAUACAUGCAAUACACUUUCAUACACAUAAAUGCAAACUCACAUACAUAUAUACACCCCUCAAAGACCCCAUUAUUCAAUUCUAAACAAAGUGGUUUAUCCCCCAAAUGUACCUUCUCGUAAUUAAUAAGCUCUACUGCACAUUUCUUGUUUCAAAUAAUGAGGUCUCACACACAGCACACACACAUUUAUACUCCAAUACGUGUGAACAUACAAAUAGAAAUAGGCACACGGGCACGAAGACCCUCUUCUGUAAAGGUAUUCUCAAACUUGAACUGAACGAAUUCUGCUAAUUAUAGUCAGAGUCAGCAAAGAUAUAUAUUUGACCUCGGAAUGAAUAUACUCGUUCUUUUCGUUACCCCUGGCAACAGCAAGAAUGUAAAACAGAGUUGUGUGAUACGAUGCCACUUAUUCAAUCCCACUUCCUGGGAUCUGACCCACUUGUAAUAGCGUUUCUGUCUGAGUGAUUUCCUUCUGACUAAAAUCAUGAGAUAAUUCCUUCCCUUCCUGCUUUCUCUUUCCCAGGCCUUUUCACUACCCUUUCAUCAUCUCGGAAACUAAAUCAUAGUUGUCAAAAUGGAAGGCAAAGAAACAGCCUUAGGAGAGAAUCCCACAAUGGAAUGGACCCAAGACAGGAAAAAAAUAUUCUUUUUGAAAAUGUACAAAAGGAAAAGUCAAGAGGCCUGGGUUCCCUCUCACGACAGAAACAGACGUUGGCAAAGCAAGUCGCUCAGCACAGUUCAGCUCUGUGGAUGAAACAGAGAUUCUAGUCCUUGUCCCUGUUUCAAGCUCUGUGUAUGAAACAGAUUCUAGCCCUUGUCUCUGUUUCAUGAUGUUGCAGUGAAGGAAACAAAACAGACAAAGGGCACAGGCUGGAGAAAAGGAUUUUAAAAGGAUGACUUUCAAAAUGUGCACCUGCUUUUCAAGGGCACAAUGAGGACACUACCAAGUAUAUUAAAGCUGAUCUAUAAGAGACAGGUAUAAAGACUCUACAAGGUCAUUAGACUUACAAAGAAAACAACAUUCUCCUAGCAUCACGAGUCAGGUGUUCCACAAACACUAAGAAUAGCCACCGCAACGGGAUCCACUAUGAGGUGUCAAAACAUAACCCAGGAAGCGUGGCCGAGAGCUCCUAUAACCUGAUUUCUAGGAAUCUAAUUUUAACUAUCCUCACAGCUAGCACAUCACAAAAAUACAGAGCUCCAAAUGCUGUAACACAAGUGCUAACAACACCUAAGCCAAAAAUAUACGAGGCAUUUCAGGCAAAAAUCCCAGAAUCAGAAGAACACAAGUUUUCUAAGUUCUUCAAAAGCUGGUGCCGGUUGAGGCUCUUCUGCAGACUUCAACAAAAGACACGCUGGAAUUAGCCAUUGACGGUAACCCUGAGUCAACACGCACAGUGUUCGGAAAAGCACAAGGCCUGCUCCGGCCUUGAGACCCCUGGGAACUUUCUCUGGACCGCACCAAGUGGACGACUUUGAGGACUCAAAAUAACCAACAACCAGUCCAUGAACAGAGAAAGAAGACUGCAGCCUCCCUGGGGACCUGGCUCCAUGCCUGCCCCCUUUCUUCCGGAUACCUUUGCCCUUCCCGGCUCCCUGCUACACCUGGAUACACUCUGGGUUCAGGCCCCUCUCCAGCUGUGUCUCGGUCCACAGCUGGCUGCCCGUGUGAAGCACCAGGCCUUGAAGGACCAUCUCCACCUGCUCCCUGCACUUCCCACCCACUUCCGCGAGACCCCCAGGCUCUAGAUGCUCUCAGGGAUCAGGGCCGCCAGGCUCCCCUCACAGGCUUCAACUGGAGUCCUGCCCCCUGGUUUUCAGCAAGACUUGGGACUUUCUCCUGGAAACUCUCGGCUCUGGGCUUUAGUGAACUGCGCCAUCCAGCUCUUCUCUGGACUGUAAGCAGGGCCUUUUCUGGGUCUUCCAACCCUUCCUCCAUUUCCAAAUGUGGGCUUUCCUUUGGCCUCCUCUCUCCAGACAUGCACGCCUCACACUCUGGCUACUUGACCUGCACUUCUACCUAAGAGAAUCCCAAAUGCACCCUGCUCCAGAUUUUCCCCAAGCCUCCUCCUGUAUUUCCAAACUCGCAGCUUGCAGUGGUGUCUCUAAGUAUCUCUGAGUCAGGUCCACACUUGCUUCUCCUCCUGAUCUCCGACAAAGCGCAACGCCGACCUCGGGGUGCAGACUCACAGCUUCAUCCACCUUCCUGCACUCCCUCUUCCCCUCCUGACCCAGGCACCGAAUCGCUCAGCUCACUGGCUGCCUUCUCUCCUCCUCUCGCAGCGGUGAGUGCCCUGCAUGAGCCUGCCCUGUCCCCCCGGGCUCCACGGCACGCCGCACAUCAGAGACAUGAUUCUCUCCGAAACCCUCAGUGGGUCCCUAGUAUCUGACAGAAGGGUCAAAACUGUGGCAGACCUGCGAUGGCUGUGGUUGAGGAAAGAGGCCACACCCACAGCCGGCAGAACCACGCUCAGCAGCAGCCUAGCCCCGCGUGGAAGAGGCGUGAACACUCUCGGGAGAGGUGGAUGUGCACUAACGGUUCCCAGCUCUGAUCUCUUUGAUUAACUGAAUAUGGUGAUUGGUUUUAUCUGAACUUCAGACAAAAAGGGUGUCUACGUCCAGGAAAGACUCUAAACAUUCUGGACCCAUCCUGGGGCAGACGGUGACCGUGACCAGUGAUACCACUCUCCAGGGGGCAGCAUGGUCUGCAGAAGGGGAGACCCCUAAGGCAGCCCUACCCCAGCGUGGGUGAGUUUCUGUUGUAAUUCUAUGUCCAGUGUAAAUAAACUGUGGAAAACUGGGAGAUGGUACAAGAAAGCAAGGAUGCCAACUAAAUGAAUAGAAAGAUCUACAAGGGAAGGCUGAGAUCGGCUGAAAUCAGCUGAAAUAGGCUUGGGAAAGUAAAGGCCAGGCUGGAACUUCGUAACGGCUUUCGAGGCUCGGGAACACGGACGGUAGCUGCCCUGUCCAUCCCAGGAGAGAACAGACGGGCUUAGUUGGAAAGCACUUCCCUGACUAAAAGUGUCUUUAAAAAGGGAAAUCUCAGAAUUGCCCUCCCUGGAACGCUUUAACCCUUUAUGGAACACAGCAGAAAUUCCACAGCCCUGCAUCCCAGGAAGCAGGGACAGGACAGCAGCCUCCAGCACACAGAAGCACUUAGAGGCAUAAGCAGCUAUGCAAAGAUGGCACGAUCCGUGCCUCAAAAAGGCCAAGAUCUCUGAGAAAUAAAGUUGUAUGCAGAUUUACACCUGGGCAGCUUGAAAUGCGUGUGCCAUGACAGUUCCGGAAGCUUGUCUACUCGAAGGUCCGCAUUCAGGUAUGUUUCACAGUCACCACAACUAGACUUUCAGAAAUUUAAAACUCCUAAUAAAGAAAUGCAAACCUGCACAUCUCACGCCACCACCUAAAGCAGCGGUUCUCAAGUAGGGGCGAUUCUGCUGGGGGGAGGGAUGCUGAUGGCAUCGUGGGAGGCAGAGGUCUGACACUCAGCACCGCAGGCACCGAGAACAGUCUCCUCACAAAGUCUCCCCACAAGGGCUUCGGGGGGCCACACCAGAGGAUGGGAGGCAGGGGUGACACUCAGCACCGCAGGCACUGAGGACAGCCUCCUCCUCACAAAGGCUCCCCACAAGGGCUCCGGGGAGCACACCAGAGGAUGGGAGGCAGGGGUGACACUCAGCACUGCAGGCACCAAGGACAGCCUCCUCCUCACAAAGGCUCCCCACAAGGGCUCCGGGGAGCACACCAGAGGGUGGGAGGCAGGGGUGACACUCAGCACUGUAGGGACCAAGGACAGCCUCCUCCUCACAAAGCCUCCCCACAGAGGCUCCGGGGAGCACACCAGAGGAUGGGAGGCAGGGGUGACACUCAGCACUGCAGGCACUGAGGACAGCCUCCUCCUCACAAAGCCUCCCCACAGAGGCUCUGGGGAGCACACCAGAGGGUGGGACGCAGGGGUGAUGCUCAGCAUCACAGGCACUGAGGACAGCCUCCCACAAAGGCUCCUCUGGGCCAGAGCAUCCAUAGUGCUGAGGGGAAAAGCCCGGACACAAAGGAUCAAGUGUUUUCAACAUAGCUCAGGGCAUCUCCACACAGGAACUCCCAUCUGCCUGUUGUGCAAAGUCUGGGGACUUGCAAUCAAUAAACCUUCACAAGACACAACACAUGGACCUAACAAUUCUAUUUCGCUCUGGGAGAGAGAAAAGAAGGAAUGGUUUGGGGAGCUGCAUUGAAAUUCCGUGAGUUCUUGACUAAAAAUCACCAAGUCCGCUGUGUUCUGUUAUCAGCAGUCCUGGGUAGGCCCAGACCCACCUUACCCCCAGCGGGACCCAGGCAAGGCUUUAAACCCCAAACGUCCCUUUUCGUAACACUGGCUGUUUCGUGUGGUUAAUAAAUCAUCCAAUAAGAUGACACGCAUAAGCCUAGUUAUAAACCUGGCACGUUAACGCUAUUGAUCAUUGUCAGACAUCCGGGUUAAUCAACUUCACAAUGCUACAGAGAAAUCAUUGGUACUAAGAGUUGUAAGGAUGAUUUUUUUAAAUUUAUGUACCUCAAUUUUUAUAGUUACUUUUUACAUUUUAAAAAAUGCAUAUUCUAAAAUAUUUUUGAUAUUUUAAAAUGUUAAUGUAUCAAGCAUUUUAAAACGCACCAAAUAUAUAUCUACUAAUACAUAGGGAAUUUUUAAAUAAAUAUCAGGGUAGAAGGAAUUAAAACUCCUAACAUAACACUAAAUAGACAGGAAAAAACAAAGUAGAGAGUUCUCACAGAUUCCUGAAGGAAUAUAUUGUAACAAAGUUCAAAAAGUACAUUAAAACCUUUAUAACUAUAAAAUGUUUUAAUUACCAACUAACAAGAAACUAUCUACUGAAUCGCGACUAGCAGAUCCCCAGAUCUGUUCAACACCUGUACCCUAGCCUGGGUCUGCUGAGGAACAGAUCGAUUCUGUUGGAGUUGACCUCGAAAUUAAAAAAAAAAAAAAAAAAAAAAAAACAGCUUUACAGAUUUAGAUUUCCUGAAUAAAACAGAAAAUAAAAAUAAC
Long non-coding RNA from Cercocebus atys (sooty mangabey), 5058 nucleotides. RefSeq lists it as uncharacterized. The record is from RefSeq and is a predicted model, not a curated record. The transcript has 2 exons. Lineage: Eukaryota; Metazoa; Chordata; Mammalia; Primates; Cercopithecidae.